AGCAGCCGCGGUAAUUCCAGCUCCAAUAGCGUAUAUUAAAGUUGUUGCAGUUAAAAGCUCGUAGUUGAAUUUCGGGGUCAGUAGGUUGGUCGUGCCACCGGUACGUACUGGUCUCACUGAUUCCUCCUUCCUGAUGAGCUGUAAUGCCAUUAAUUUGGUGUUGCAGGGAAUUUGGACUGUUACUUUGAAAAAUUGAGUGUUUAAAGCAGGCUUACGCUUGAAUACAUUAGCAAUGGAAUAAUGAAAUAGGACGUUCGAUCCUAUUUUGUUGGUUUCUAGGAUUGACGUAAUGAUUAAUAGGGAUAGUUGGGGGCAUUAGUAUUCAAUUGUCAGAGGUGAAAUUCUUGGAUUUAUUGAAGACUAACUACUGCGAAAGCAUUUGCCAAGGAUGUUUUCAUUAAUCAAAGAACGAAAGUUAGGGAUCGAAGACGAUCAGAUACCGUCGUAGUCUUAACCAUAAACUAUGCCGACUAGGGAUCGGAUG
This 484-nucleotide ribosomal RNA is filed under the name uncultured Glomus. RNAcentral describes it as "SSU rRNA". It matches the Rfam family "Eukaryotic small subunit ribosomal RNA", at positions 569 to 1059 of the family's 1831-position model. The record is from RNAcentral. Lineage: Eukaryota; Fungi; Glomeromycota; Glomeromycetes; Glomerales; Glomeraceae.